AUAUCAAUAAGCGGAGGAAAAGAAACCAACAGGGAUUGCCUCAGUAACGGCGAGUGAAGCGGCAACAGCUCAAAUUUGAAAUCUGGCCUUUUGGUCUGAGUUGUAAUUUGUAGAGGAUGCUUCGAACAUGGUCUGGUCUAAGUUCUUUGGAACAGGACAUCAUAGAGGGUGAGAAUCCCGUAUGUGACUAGGUGCCUAAGUUCAUGUGAAGCUCCUUCGACGAGUCGAGUUGUUUGGGAAUGCAGCUCAAAAUGGGUGGUAAAUUUCAUCUAAAGCUAAAUAUUGGCCAGAGACCGAUAGCGCACAAGUAGAGUGAUCGAAAGAUGAAAAGCACUUUGGAAAGAGAGUUAAACAGUAC
This 358-nucleotide ribosomal RNA is filed under the name uncultured fungus. RNAcentral's name for it is "eukaryotic LSU rRNA". It matches the Rfam family "Eukaryotic large subunit ribosomal RNA", at positions 40 to 398 of the family's 3401-position model. The record is from RNAcentral. Lineage: Eukaryota; Fungi.